UACAGAGGGGGCAAGCGUUGUUCGGAAUUACUGGGCGUAAAGGGCGCGUAGGCGGCCUUCUAAGUCAGACGUGAAAUCCCUCGGCUCAACCGGGGAACUGCGUCUGAGACUGGAAGGCUUGAAUCCGGGAGAGGGAUGUGGAAUUCCUGGUGUAGCAGUGAAAUGCGUAGAUAUCAGGAGGAAUACCGAUGGCGAAGGCAGGUCUCUGGGCUGACACUGACGCUCAUGCACGAAAGCGUGGGGAGCAAACAGG
This 253-nucleotide ribosomal RNA is filed under the name uncultured bacterium. RNAcentral describes it as "partial 16S ribosomal RNA". It matches the Rfam family "Bacterial small subunit ribosomal RNA", at positions 524 to 776 of the family's 1533-position model. The record is from RNAcentral.